CUGCCCUCAAGCACGGCUUGUGUGUUGGGUCGCCGUCCCCUCCGGGGGACGGGCCCGAAAGGCAGCGGCGGCACCGGGUCCGGUCCUCGAGCGUAUGGGGCUUCGUCACCCGCUCUGUAGGGCCGGCCGGCUGUCUGCCGACAACCUAUUAUUUUCUUCA
RNAcentral lists this unclassified non-coding RNA (160 nucleotides) under Pseudopenicillium megasporum. RNAcentral's name for it is "partial internal transcribed spacer 2". Lineage: Eukaryota; Fungi; Ascomycota; Eurotiomycetes; Eurotiales; Aspergillaceae. RNAcentral also lists the same sequence under 1 other name. The record is from RNAcentral.